RNAcentral lists this ribosomal RNA (253 nucleotides) under uncultured bacterium. Its description in RNAcentral is "partial 16S ribosomal RNA". It matches the Rfam family "Bacterial small subunit ribosomal RNA", at positions 524 to 776 of the family's 1533-position model. The record is from RNAcentral.
UACGAAGGGUGCAAGCGUUACUCGGAAUUACUGGGCGUAAAGCGUGCGUAGGUGGUUCGUUAAGUCUGUCGUGAAAGCCCCGGGCUCAACCUGGGAAUGGCGAUGGAUACUGGCGGGCUAGAGUGCGGUAGAGGAGAGUGGAAUUCCCGGUGUAGCAGUGAAAUGCGUAGAGAUCGGGAGGAACAUCAGUUGCGAAGGCGGCUAUCUGGACGGUUUCUGACGCUAAGACGCGAAAGCGUGGGGAGCAAACAGG